UGGCAGUGAUGGUGUUGUGUUGCUCAACAUUUGCAUGAAAUAGACAACUCGUCUAUUUUGGCCCCGCCUAGCUGGCGGCAUAGCAGCCGCUUCGCUCU
Long non-coding RNA from Thalassophryne amazonica, 98 nucleotides. RefSeq lists it as uncharacterized. The transcript is spliced from 3 exons. The record is from RefSeq and is a predicted model, not a curated record. NCBI's taxonomy places the organism in Eukaryota, Metazoa, Chordata, Actinopteri, Batrachoidiformes, Batrachoididae.